RNAcentral lists this ribosomal RNA (446 nucleotides) under uncultured bacterium. RNAcentral describes it as "partial 16S ribosomal RNA". It matches the Rfam family "Bacterial small subunit ribosomal RNA", at positions 29 to 523 of the family's 1533-position model. The record is from RNAcentral.
AACGAACGCUGGCGGCAGGCUUAACACAUGCAAGUCGAGCGCGUAGCAAUACGAGCGGCAGACGGGUGAGUAACACGUGGGAAUCUACCCAUCCCUGCGGAACAACUCCGGGAAACUGGAGCUAAUACCGCAUACGCCCUACGGGGGAAAGAUUUAUCGGGGAUGGAUGAGCCCGCGUUGGAUUAGCUAGUUGGUGGGGUAAAGGCCUACCAAGGCGAGGAUCCAUAGCUGGUCUGAGAGGAUGAUCAGCCACAUUGGGACUGAGACACGGCCCAAACUCCUACGGGAGGCAGCAGUGGGGAAUAUUGGACAAUGGGCGCAAGCCUGAUCCAGCCAUGCCGCGUGAGUGAUGAAGGCCUAGGGUUGUAAAGCUCUUUCACCGAUGAAGAUAAUGACGGUAGUCGGAGAAGAAGCCCCGGCUAACUUCGUGCCAGCCGCCGCGGUAA